RNAcentral lists this small nuclear RNA (118 nucleotides) under Fukomys damarensis (Damara mole-rat). RNAcentral describes it as "U2 spliceosomal RNA". It matches the Rfam family "U2 spliceosomal RNA". Rfam says of the family: U2 is a small nuclear RNA (snRNA) component of the spliceosome (involved in pre-mRNA splicing). Complementary binding between U2 snRNA (in an area lying towards the 5' end but 3' to hairpin I) and the branchpoint sequence (BPS) of the intron results the bulging out of an unpaired adenosine, on the BPS, which initiates a nucleophilic attack at the intronic 5' splice site, thus starting the first of two transesterification reactions that mediate splicing. The record is from Rfam by way of RNAcentral. Lineage: Eukaryota; Metazoa; Chordata; Mammalia; Rodentia; Bathyergidae.
AUCGCUUCUUGGCCUUUUUGGCUAAGAUCAAGUGUAGUAUCUGUUCUUAUCAGUACCCAUAAAUGCUAGUAGUCACUCCUGUGCCCUGCCUUACCAGGCAUUGAACCCAGGACCUCUC